GGUUGCGAACGUUCGGAUCCUGGGUUCGAAUCCCGGCGACCGGAUUUUAUUUUCACACACCAAAAAACGGAGGAAAAAUCAGCAGUAACCAGCAGCGACAUCUACAACAGCCCCUAGCGACAAUUACUGCGGACGAGGACCAGCAACUACUACAACUAUAACGCACGUCCAAUAUACAUACAACUCACUUGCAGUGGUGACAGAUGGAUGUCGCCUCCCUCCGAAUCCUUAGCAGGAACUCGCCGAAUACUCCGUGGCCGGUGAGCAUUUAUUUGCGUCGUCCAAGGAGGUGAGCGGAACUCCGCCUCGGUCCCUCCAAGCAAGCAGCCUCCCAGUUGGGAAGUACGGCCCGAGCGCCUCGAUGUGGCCGCACAGCAUCAUCCUCGAGCAGCCGAGAGCUCCAUCGCUCCCAGGUCUCUAGAUUCGCCUCCGUCCGGACGUCCUGGGCCGGCCGGCUGGCGAUGGACGGCGUAAGCCCGUCCGAGCCCCCCAGGUCCCUUAGGGUUCGUACACCCGUCGGAGCGCAAGGGCCUGUAACUCGUACGGUGGGGACGCCGCCAGCACGGACGCCAACGCGUAGGAUAUGGUUCGAUAUCCUCUCACUAUGCGGAUGGCGAUCGUUCUUUGCAACCUCCUCAACAAGAGUAAGCUGCGGCCAUUCGCCAUCAGAUCUCCGUCCAUACGGGAGCUCCGUAGAGGAUUCUGGACCGGACCACUCCCUCGUAGAGCCGGCGCACUCUCCGACCUCUGCUCUCGCGAUGUUUGGCAGCAAACCGCAUAAGGUGUUGGCUGCGGCUGUCACCCUUGGAACCAGAAUCUCGAAAUGCGGCCUGAAGGUCCAUUGGCUGUCGAUGAUGAGACCCAGGUAAUUCAUCUGGCAUCUCCCCGGGACUUCUUCCCCGUUGAUGUUCACGGACAUUCCAGGGGGAAGAGCUCCUCUAUAGCGGCGGCCGAACCACAUGGCCUCGGACUUGGCCGGCGACACGCUCAAACCGAGCAUCUGGUUCAAGAUUUCGUACCAGCGGCGUCCCCCGGCCAAGACCAAGGUGUCGUCGGCGUGUAACAUACCAUGCCCGCCCUCAGGGGCAUCGGGCAUCGAAGGACCGAGUCGUAGGCCGUGAUCCACAGGAUGGGUCCCAGUACUGAGCCCUGUGGAACGCCCACGCUCGACCGUCUUCCUCUCUUCUCCGUUCCUACCGGUGUACGCGACCCACCUGUCGCUUAAAUACGCUCGAAUGACCGAGAUACGGCGGCACCUCCAGGUGUUUCAGGGCUUCCACUAUCCUGUCCCAGGGGAUGGCGUUGAAGGCGUUCGCGACAUCCAGGGAAACUGCCAACGCCACCCCGCCUCGGGAAACCAUGUCUUCCGCCAUGGACCUCACUCGCCUAACCGCGUCCACCGUCGAGCGACCUCGGCGAAAGCCAUAUACUGGUUGUCAUGCCAUCCAGGCACUCGCUCUGACAUGUGGGCCUCCAGGCGGGUGGCGAUUAUUCUCUCGAACCUCGUCCAGAAUGUCGAUUGACUGACUGUCUGCUCUCGUGUUAUUAUGGAGGAAAGCUCGGCAUGGGUGGGUUUUAGCUAGCGCAUUCGCACAUGGAGGACGAGCGUAACAUGGAUGACGUAAACUCACGUUGUCAUUUUCAACAAUGCCUUUAUUAAUAAAAAUAAUUCGAUUAUUAAUUUGUAUAUAAAUUAUAUUAACUAAAUAAAAUAAACCAGAAGAAACAAA
Bombus terrestris (buff-tailed bumblebee) is the source of this 1730-nucleotide long non-coding RNA. RefSeq lists it as uncharacterized. The transcript has 3 exons. The record is from RefSeq and is a predicted model, not a curated record. Lineage: Eukaryota; Metazoa; Arthropoda; Insecta; Hymenoptera; Apidae.